UACGAAGGGAGCUAGCGUUGUUCGGAAUCACUGGGCGUAAAGCGCACGUAGGCGGAUUUGCCAGUCAGGGGUGAAAUCCCGGGGCUCAACCUCGGAACUGCCUUUGAUACAGCAAGUCUUGAGUUCGAGAGAGGUGGGUGGAAUUCCUAGUGUAGAGGUGAAAUUCGUAGAUAUUCGCAAGAACACCAGUGGCGAAGGCGGCUCACUGGCCCGAUACUGACGCUGAGGCACGAAAGCGUGGGGAGCAAACAGG
RNAcentral lists this ribosomal RNA (253 nucleotides) under uncultured bacterium. RNAcentral's name for it is "partial 16S ribosomal RNA". It matches the Rfam family "Bacterial small subunit ribosomal RNA", at positions 524 to 776 of the family's 1533-position model. The record is from RNAcentral.